UGGGGAGUCGUCCAACGGUAGGACUCCAGACUCUGGAUCUGGCUAUCCAGGUUCGAAUCCUGGCUCCCCAG
This 71-nucleotide transfer RNA is filed under the name Candidatus Tectimicrobiota bacterium. RNAcentral describes it as "Candidatus Tectomicrobia bacterium tRNA-Gln". It matches the Rfam family "tRNA". From Rfam's summary of the family: Transfer RNA (tRNA) molecules are approximately 80 nucleotides in length. Their secondary structure includes four short double-helical elements and three loops (D, anti-codon, and T loops). Further hydrogen bonds mediate the characteristic L-shaped molecular structure. tRNAs have two regions of fundamental functional importance: the anti-codon, which is responsible for specific mRNA codon recognition, and the 3' end, to which the tRNAs corresponding amino acid is attached (by aminoacyl-tRNA synthetases). tRNAs cope with the degeneracy of the genetic code in two manners: having more than one tRNA (with a specific anti-codon) for a particular amino acid; and 'wobble' base-pairing, i.e. permitting non-standard base-pairing at the 3rd anti-codon position. The record is from RNAcentral. Lineage: Bacteria; Pseudomonadati; Candidatus Tectimicrobiota.